GCCGAAAUAGCUCAGUUGGUAGAGCAACACUUUCGUAAAGUGGAGGUCUCGGGUUCGACUCCCGAUUUCGGCUCCA
This 76-nucleotide transfer RNA is filed under the name Candidatus Berkelbacteria bacterium CG08_land_8_20_14_0_20_39_8. Its description in RNAcentral is "tRNA-Thr". It matches the Rfam family "tRNA". Rfam says of the family: Transfer RNA (tRNA) molecules are approximately 80 nucleotides in length. Their secondary structure includes four short double-helical elements and three loops (D, anti-codon, and T loops). The record is from RNAcentral. Lineage: Bacteria; Candidatus Berkelbacteria.